UACGCAGGGUGCGAGCGUUGUCCGGAAUUACUGGGCGUAAAGAGCUCGUAGGUGGUUUGUCGCGUUGUUCGUGAAAACUCACAGCUUAACUGUGGGCGUGCGGGCGAUACGGGCAGACUGGAGUACUGCAGGGGAGACUGGAAUUCCUGGUGUAGCGGUGGAAUGCGCAGAUAUCAGGAGGAACACCGGUGGCGAAGGCGGGUCUCUGGGCAGUAACUGACGCUGAGGAGCGAAAGCGUGGGGAGCGAACAGG
RNAcentral lists this ribosomal RNA (253 nucleotides) under uncultured bacterium. RNAcentral's name for it is "partial 16S ribosomal RNA". It matches the Rfam family "Bacterial small subunit ribosomal RNA", at positions 524 to 776 of the family's 1533-position model. The record is from RNAcentral.